This is a small nuclear RNA of Myotis myotis, 106 nucleotides long. Lineage: Eukaryota; Metazoa; Chordata; Mammalia; Chiroptera; Vespertilionidae. The record is from RefSeq and is a predicted model, not a curated record.
GUGCUCGCUCCAGCAGCACAUAUAUUAGAUUGGAACGAUACAGAGAAGUGUAGCAUGGCUCCUGCGCAAGGAUGACAUGCAAAUUCGUGAAGCAUUCCAUAUUUUA